UUCGAUUGGAUUAGGCAUGCAAGUCGAACGGUAUUUUUCAGGCGGAUCCUUCGGGUAAAGCUUGUUAAAGAGAGUGGCGAACGGGUGAGUAACACGUGGGCAACUUGCCCCUAAGUUCGGGAUAGCCCGCUGAAAGGCGGGGUAAUACCGGAUGUGGUCGUUCCGCGAUUGCGGAAUUGUCUAAAGGUGGGGAUUCUUAGGAACCUAUCGCUUAGGGAUGGGCCCGCGGCCUAUCAGCUUGUUGGUGAGGUAACGGCUCACCAGGGCAUAGACGGGUAGCUGGUCUGAGAGGAUGGUCAGCCACACUGGGACUGAGACACUGCCCAGACUCCUACGGGAGGCUGCAGUCGAGAAUCAUUCACAAUGCGCGAAAGCGUGAUGAUGCGACGCCGCGUGGAGGAUGACGGCCUUCGGGUUGUAAACUCCUGUCAUGAGGGAACAAGGAUGGCGGGGCCAAUACCCCCGCUAUUUGAUGGUACCUCAAGAGGAAGCCACGGCUAACUCUGUGCCAGCAGCCGCGGUAAUACAGAGGUGGCGAGCGUUGUUCGGAUUUACUGGGCGUAAAGGGUGCGUAGGCGGUUCUGUGUGUCAGAUGUGAAAUCUCACCAUCCAACGGUGAAACUGCAUUUGAAACUGCAGGACUAGAGUACAGGAGGGGAGAGCGGAAUUCUCGGUGUAGCGGUGAAAUGCGUAGAUAUCGAGAAGAACGCCGGUGGCGAAGGCGGCUCUCUGGACUGAUACUGACGCUGAGGCACGAAAGUUGGGGGAGCGAACAGGAUUAGAUACCCUGGUAGUCCCAACCGUAAACGGUGUGCACUUGGUGUGGGUGGGUUUGUCCCCAUCCGUGCCGGAGCUAACGCGUUAAGUG
This 868-nucleotide ribosomal RNA is filed under the name uncultured bacterium. RNAcentral's name for it is "bacterial SSU rRNA". It matches the Rfam family "Bacterial small subunit ribosomal RNA", at positions 38 to 866 of the family's 1533-position model. The record is from RNAcentral.